RNAcentral lists this ribosomal RNA (254 nucleotides) under uncultured bacterium. RNAcentral describes it as "partial 16S ribosomal RNA". It matches the Rfam family "Bacterial small subunit ribosomal RNA", at positions 524 to 776 of the family's 1533-position model. The record is from RNAcentral.
UACGAAGGGGGCUAGCGUUGCUCGGAAUUACUGGGCGUAAAGGGCGCGUAGGCGGACAGUUAAGUCAGAGGUGAAAGCCCAGGGCUCAACCCUGGAAUUGCCUUUGAUACUGGCUGUCUUGAGUGCGGGAGAGGUGUGUGGAACUCCGAGUGUAGAGGUGAAAUUCGUAGAUAUCAGGAAGAACACCCGUGGCGAAGGCGGCUCUCUGGGACGGUACUGACGCUGAGACGCGAAAGCGUGGGGGAGCGAACAGG